AGAGUUUGAUCCUGGCUCAGAUUGAACGCUGGCGGCAGGCUUAACACAUGCAAGUCGAGCGGGGGAAGGUAGCUUGCUACUGGACCUAGCGGCGGACGGGUGAGUAAUGCUUAGGAAUCUGCCUAUUAGUGGGGGACAACAUCUCGAGAGGGAUGCUAAUACCGCAUACGUCCUACGGGAGAAAAGCAGGGGAUCUUCGGACCUUGCGCUAAUAGAUGAGCCUAAGUCGGAUUAGCUAGUUGGUGGGGUAAAGGCCUACCAAGGCGACGAUCUGUAGCGGGUCUGAGAGGAUGAUCCGCCACACUGGGGACUGAGACACGGCCCAGACUCCCUACGGGAGGCAGCAGUGGGGGAAUAUUGGGACAAUGGGGGGGAACCCCUGAUCCAGCCAUGCCCGCGUGUGUGAAGAAGGCCUUAUGGUUGUAAAGCACUUUAAGCGAGGAGGAGGCUACUUUAGUUAAUACCUAGAGAUAGUGGACGUUACUCGCAGAAUAAGCACCGGCUAACUCUGUGCCAGCAGCCGCGGUAAUACAGAGGGUGCGAGCGUUAAUCGGAUUUACUGGGCGUAAAGCGUGCGUAGGCGGCUUAUUAAGUCGGAUGUGAAAUCCCCGAGCUUAACUUGGGAAUUGCAUUCGAUACUGGUGAGCUAGAGUAUGGGAGAGGAUGGGUAGAAUUUCCAGGGUGUAGCGGUGA
This 693-nucleotide ribosomal RNA is filed under the name uncultured bacterium. RNAcentral's name for it is "bacterial SSU rRNA". It matches the Rfam family "Bacterial small subunit ribosomal RNA", at positions 8 to 684 of the family's 1533-position model. The record is from RNAcentral.